UCCUCUAACUGCUCCCCUUGUGCAGCAGCAACUCGUCUGCCCGACCUCGCCGUCACGACCCAACCGCCUCGCCGUCGCGACUCGCAACCCAACCGCCUCGCCGUCGCGGCUUCCCCGUUCGCCCAGCAGAGCCCGGAGCCCAGCCCGCCAAGUCCAGCCUCGCCCCUGCCGUCAGUGUCGUGCGCCCGGCCGCCCGCCUAGUCCAGCCGCGCCCCUGCGCUGCGCGCGGCUGUGCCCCUGUCCUGCGCUCCGGUGAUCCCGCCGUCCGACCUCCACUUCUCGCAGGCCCGGCCGCCUACCAGAAAAGCCCCACUACGGCGGCAAACAAGUUACAGAGUCCUAAGGAAGCAGAAUCGGAAACAUGACUGCUUUCGAUGCAAGGUGGGGAUAAUGCAGUUGGCAGUACUGAACAGGCCAGGAACAGAACAGGCUUCAGGUGAAGACCCUUGUUCGGUGUGGACUUGGCAGCGACGAUGCUCUGCGCCAUUCUCCCUCUUGGGGGCGUUAUCAUGGAGCUUUGGUGUGCUAGGUCAUAGCAAUGGGGGUGGUUAGUUCUGCCGGUGCUUAUUGCUGAUAGCGUAGACACGUGCGUUCUACGAGUGUUGAAUAUCUUAGGAUCAGCUUUGUAAUAUGGCUACCUCAUCAUCUUAUAUCAUUCGGACGUGUACUUCUUCGAAUGUCACUUUAUAUAUAAAGCGAGACGAAAGCUUGUUUCGAAA
Molecule: long non-coding RNA, 719 nt
Organism: Hordeum vulgare subsp. vulgare (domesticated barley)
Lineage: Eukaryota; Viridiplantae; Streptophyta; Magnoliopsida; Poales; Poaceae
Exons: 3
Source: RefSeq, a predicted model, not a curated record